Long non-coding RNA from Micropterus dolomieu (smallmouth bass), 467 nucleotides. RefSeq lists it as uncharacterized. The transcript is spliced from 4 exons. The record is from RefSeq and is a predicted model, not a curated record. NCBI's taxonomy places the organism in Eukaryota, Metazoa, Chordata, Actinopteri, Centrarchiformes, Centrarchidae.
CUCACAGACAGCAGAGCGCUUGCAGUGGGAAUCGGUAGCUCUCUUGGAGGACACGGACACGCAUACAGCUCAUUCACAAGUGGCGCCAGUCUGAUUUGGGGAAUGCCUGCUUCUCACCCUUUCCUGCCAUCGGUGUAAAAUUUUAUUCCUGGAAGCCAGAGGGGCCACAACAGAAAACGUUCCACGUGGUACAUCCUUGCCCACAUGUUCCAUGAUGAUGUUGGGAAGAGGAUAAAUUGGAAAGGGAUCACUAUGCAACACUCUAUGCCAGACGGCAUUGGAGAUGUUACUCCUGUGUCUUCGUUCUGAAGUGCAUUCUGUUUGCCUGCACUGGUCUACGAGCACUCUGUCUGCUGCCCGCCUAGCUCACUAUUCCUGCCUGCCCGCUCUCAGACUCUAUGCCUGGAUUUCAUCAUCGCACAGUUUUUGAGUCUGUCAAUAAACCACAGUUUUUUGCUUCUACUCCA